Molecule: small RNA, 142 nt
Organism: Melissococcus plutonius ATCC 35311
Lineage: Bacteria; Bacillati; Bacillota; Bacilli; Lactobacillales; Enterococcaceae
Rfam family: Enterococcus sRNA 68 (Lacto-3 RNA)
About the family: Name 'Ref' stands for RNA in E. faecalis. Also known as Lacto-3 RNA.
Source: Rfam
UGCGACGAGUUGACGCAAUCAGAUAGCGCUUAUUGUAGGCUGUUUCGUUUUUACGACUUGUGAUUGGUUGAUUGCAGCGACAUAGAUGGAAACAUCACCUACCGGAUUGUAGGAUGUUGUGUUUGUUUAUUUUGUGGAAGAU